RNAcentral lists this ribosomal RNA (433 nucleotides) under uncultured bacterium. RNAcentral's name for it is "partial 16S ribosomal RNA". It matches the Rfam family "Bacterial small subunit ribosomal RNA", at positions 29 to 507 of the family's 1533-position model. The record is from RNAcentral.
AACGAACGCUGGCGGCAUGCCUAACACAUGCAAGUCGAACGAGACCUUCGGGUCUAGUGGCGCACGGGUGCGUAACGCGUGGGAACCUGCCCUUAGGUUCGGAAUAACUCCCCGAAAGGGGUGCUAAUACCGGAUAAUGUCUUCGGACCAAAGAUUUAUCGCCUUUGGAUGGGCCCGCGUUGGAUUAGCUAGUUGGUAGGGUAACAGCCUGCCAAGGCGACGAUCCAUAGCUGGUCUGAGAGGAUGAUCAGCCACACUGGGACUGAGACACGGCCCAGACUCCUACGGGAGGCAGCAGUGGGGAAUAUUGGACAAUGGGCGAAAGCCUGAUCCAGCAAUGCCGCGUGAGUGAUGAAGGCCUUAGGGUUGUAAAGCUCUUUUACCCGGGAUGAUAAUGACAGUACCGGGAGAAUAAGCUCCGGCUAACUCCGUG